Long non-coding RNA from Mercenaria mercenaria, 1801 nucleotides. RefSeq lists it as uncharacterized. The transcript is spliced from 2 exons. The record is from RefSeq and is a predicted model, not a curated record. NCBI's taxonomy places the organism in Eukaryota, Metazoa, Mollusca, Bivalvia, Venerida, Veneridae.
AAAUUCUGGGAUGCUCUUGAGUGUCUCCCACCUAACUAGAGGCCACACUGGUUAGGCAAAACGACAGUCCUUGCGUUGUUACGUCAGACCGAGCGUAUCUGAGCGCCAAGGCUCGAGAAAAAAUGGCGGAUUCCGAUCACGAUAUUCAGAUGAGGAAUUUCCAAUGCGAUAUAUGUGCCAAACAGUUUCUGCAUCUGUCCUCUCUGGGGAGACACAAGCGCAUUCACGCAGGAGAACGAAAGUUAUUUAUGUGGCAACGUAUGGUGGAACAUAUGAACAUCGACAGACAUUAAUUAGACAUUUGAAUACACUUGAAGAAAAAAAUGAUUGGAUGUGACCAGUGCGAAAAAAAUGUUCUCCCGAAAAGACAGACUUGAAAGACAAAGUGGUUCAUAAGUCCAAAUCAACCUGUAGUAGAUGCUCCAAAAAGGUAUUUCAUAUUGCUGAACACUUGAAAAUUUGCGUCGAAGGACGUGUUUCUAAUCAUUAAUGCCAAGUGUGUGACAGAAAGUUCUUGGAAAAAAGAUAUCUGCAGAACCAUUGCAGGUGUGUAUAUUCAUACGAAGAACAGUUUGAGUGUAACGUGUGCAGCAAAACGUUCCGUCAAAGAGGGUCGUUGUCCCGCCAUAAUCGACAAUGUAAGAACUGAGAAAAGUAAACUUAAGUGAAGUGAAUGUAUGUCAGUAGACUCCAGUGAAUAGUGUUGCAUUAUGGACACAGGAAAUGUAUUGACUUUAUAGUUCCUCUUUUGUUCAGUAUGGCAUGUCAAACGUUGCUAAAUUAUAUAUGUAUGUUAUUAUUAUUUUAUGUUUGUUAUUGUUAUUCAAUGUCUUGUCAUUCAUAUUCUAAAAGUCAUUAUUGUUAUUCUAUAUUUCGUUAUUCUAAUUGUAUCUUUGAUAUUGUUAUUCAAUGUCGUGUCAUUUAUAUUCUAAAUCUUACCAUUGUUAUUCUAUAUGUCGUUAUUCUUAUUGUAUAUUCGAUAUUCUUAUGGUAAAAGUUAUUAUUGUUAUCAUCAUAACAAACAUCCAAUAAUAAUAACAUGCAUAUAUAAUUUAGCAACGUUUGACGUGCCAUAGACAUAAUUGAUUUAUAACUCUUUGAAAUUGAUUAUAGCUUUGAAAACGCACAAAUAACAAAUAAAAACAUAUUUUAGAAUAGUCGGGCUCAUUCUAAAUAGCCCUGACUUCAGUCAGUCUUAUUUUGCAAUUAAUUCUUAUUUUUGUUUAAGGUAAGGUCAGGGUAACAUUUUCAUUUCUAUCACAUACACAUGCGUCUUUUUUUAAUGAAUGUAAUCAAUAAGUUCUGCAAACGUGCCGAAUCGGCAAAAUUAUACAGUUCAAAACGCUUUUUAAAGUAUUUAACAUUAUUUAUACGCUGAUAACGGACACUUUCUAAUUGUCAAAUUUCUCGUGGAACGAAAUUCGUUUUGACGUAAGUGUUUUUUCUUUCAGUAUGUAAUAGUCAUGUACACUACCGUUGUUUAACUGAUUUAAGGUGAUUUUAAUUAGCCCUGCCACGGAAUGAUCCGGUCAAGGGUGGAGCAUGUAUUCGGUUCUAGUCAAGUGCUCAGGGGAUAUCAAUUUCAAAUUGAUAUUAGAUAGCUAUUUAAGGCAAUACUUCUGUGCUUUUUGAUGUCAAUAUGUGAUGUUCAUGUCAUAACUGAUAAUAGUGGUCACAUAUUAAAUAAAUGAUUCUACUUUAUUUUUAUGUUUAUUUUGAUUCAUCAGUGAUGAAUCCGUGAUUAACCAUUCCAGUGACUUUUUUAAUAUUUGAUUUUGAAAUAAAAUUUACAAAAAAAUGA